GGCGGUAUCACUGAACGUCACACAUGCACCGACACGCGAAACCUGGGUGCCCCCGCUGCGGCUGGGGUUGGUGAGCGGGGUGUGUGGAGGCCUAAC
This 96-nucleotide small RNA is filed under the name Cellvibrio japonicus Ueda107. Its description in RNAcentral is "t44 RNA". It matches the Rfam family "t44 RNA". Rfam says of the family: This family consists of a number of bacterial RNA genes of between 135 and 170 bases in length. The t44 gene is found between the map and rpsB genes in all species in the full alignment apart from Shigella flexneri. The record is from Rfam by way of RNAcentral. Lineage: Bacteria; Pseudomonadati; Pseudomonadota; Gammaproteobacteria; Cellvibrionales; Cellvibrionaceae.